This 1576-nucleotide unclassified non-coding RNA is filed under the name Hevea brasiliensis (rubber tree). The record is from RNAcentral. Lineage: Eukaryota; Viridiplantae; Streptophyta; Magnoliopsida; Malpighiales; Euphorbiaceae.
GUUUGAAAGCCGAAUAUAACCAGAGAAGGCAAGCACCGAGAACUCAAGUGGGUUGGAAAUGGCUUCCAAUGCAGCAGUGCCGUUCUGGAGAGCAGCGGGGAUGACUUAUAUAACGUACUCAAACAUAUGUGCUAAUCUGGUGAGGAACUGCCUCAAAGAGCCUUACAAGACCGAAGCUCUCACUCGCGAGAAGGUCCAUUUUGCCGUCUCCAAGUGGGUCGAUGGCAAGCCCCAGAAAUCCAGUAUGAUUCGAAUCUUUCUGGAUCUGGGAUUUUUGAGAUGUGGUUCUUUUCUUUACUUGAUUAUUUGCGAUUCUCAUUUUGUUCAUUGAUUUCUUGGAUUUUGAUCGUGUUUGCUUCUAUGUGUGUAAAUGUGUGUGAUUGAUUCUUGGAUUUUGAUCGUGCUUGUUCUCGACGCAAAAUCAAAAUUUUCAGUUGAGAUUCCGUUAGUCGAAAUUCAUACUUAUCUCAUAAGGAGAUAACAAAAUUUUCUUAAUUUUAGGGUAUAUUUCUAGAUUAAUUUAUGACAUUCUUAUUUGCUACUAUGUCAAUUGUGGUGUGUUAUUUUUCAUUAAAUAGUUUUUGUCAUGGAUACUGUCAUUUAAAAUUCUAUUUAGAAGAAAAAGAGAACGUGGUUUAUGCAUAAUAUGCUAUGUAGUCGACAGUUUACUUCGAAAUGUUUAGCUUGCAUAUAAUUGAUUUUAAUUUUGUUAUGAUAAAAAUUUUUUAUAUGGUUUUAUUUUUUCAAUAAACUAAAUCAAACUGUUUUAAAAUGGUGUAGAAAAUUUUCAAAUCAAACAGAAAUUUUUUAUUUGUAAACCAAACCAAACUAUAUAAUCCAAUUUAGCUGAUUUGGUUUAAUGGUUUGAAUUGAAUAAUGACAUCCUUAAUCAUAACCAGUCAUCGUGAGAUGAUCUAGUGAUGAGACAAGGGCUUAUAAGUUGCAUGGGAUCAAAGUUAUAAAAAUGUUUCCAGGAUCAGAUGCACAGGUUGUGCAGUUGUAUUUAACAGAGUACUUUGAUUUAGAGAGAAUAACUAUUUGAUAAAUUUCCUAUUUAAGUAUGUGAUUAGUUUAAUCAAUAACAUCAAGUUUAUUUGGUCGGAUCCUCCUCCUAGAAUAUACAUGUUGCUUUGACUGAUGUCUGGAUUGGUAUAAGGCUUCAAGCAUCUUCUCCUCCUACCACCCCCACCCUCCCCAGCCAGUGUUUUGCUGAAGUACUUUGAUGCCUCCUAUUUGAUUCAGUCUCUUCAUCUACAAUACUUUCUUCUUUUUUUUUUUUCCCCCCCUUUUAAUCACCCUGUUUAUAUUAAUAUAAGAGUAGAGAAAGAAAGAAAAGGGUAAGAGGUUUUGGGAAGGUCGUUUUUGGUUGAGAUAGAAGAUUCUCAAUGCUGCUUGGUGUUAGUUCUUAUACUGUAGUUUGCACUGUAUUGGCUUAAUUAACAACACUAAUGAAGAGAGAAAGCAACAUUUUAAAGUUUCAGGAUUUGAAUCUCAUACAAAUGAAGGAUUUCAUGUGAAAAGUAAAGAAGGAAAACCGGCUAAAAGAACACUAGACUAAAAGGAAAACAAAAGCAAA